UACUCACAUAUAUAUAUAUAUAUAGAGGGAGAGAGAAAGAGUUGAACUAGAAUACUCUCAAAAGCACCAAGAGGGUGAUGUUUUCGAGUUUUUAAUUAUUGAAUGGAGAGAUGUAGGGUUUAAAUGAUGAUGGUAGGAGAUGGUAGGUAGAAUAUUGUUUGAUUCAAGAAGUAUUAGUAAUUAAGGAGUAGAUCUAAGGGCUAGAAACUUAAAAGCACUAAAGAGUUGGUACUUCUAAAAGUAUUCUAGCUCAAUUAUAUAUAUAUAUAUAUAUAUAGAGUCCGGCUACUAUACUCUUAUGAGUACGAUCACCCUCAUACUCAUAAGUUGUUUUCGAUGAUAGAGCUUUCGAAACGACAAUCCACACCGUUAAACGUUAUCUAGAGCAUUUAAAACUAUUAGAAAUUAAAUUUCAUAAUUUUUCGACAUCAUUUACCUUACAAUCAAAAGCUCACAAAAUUGACAAUUUUUAACGGCCGGUAUGGAAUACUUGCUAGUUUAACGGUAGAAAAGAAUCGGAAUAGGUUGAAAUUUUGAUAGAAAAUUCUAUUAACUACCUAGAUAAAAAUCAAUAACUCCGAUCUUAAAUUAAAGGAUCCGAUCAUCCAUUUUUAGGACGUCGUUCGAUUUUGACCAUUCAUUUUAUGCCCACUUGAUGGACUUUAUUAUGAUUUCGAAAAAUUACGAAAUUUAUUUUCUAGAAGUUUCAAAUACUCUACAUCAUAUUUAACGGAGUGGAUCGUCGAUUCGGAAACUCCAUCAUCGAAAACAAUUUAUGAGUACUAAGAGCCCACUACUCAUAAUAGUAUAGUAGCCCUACUCUCUUUCUCUCUCUCUCUCUCUAUAUAUAUAUAUAU
This 857-nucleotide long non-coding RNA is filed under the name Ananas comosus (pineapple). Its description in RNAcentral is "long non-coding RNA (ACOM_LNC006462)". Lineage: Eukaryota; Viridiplantae; Streptophyta; Magnoliopsida; Poales; Bromeliaceae. The record is from RNAcentral.